CAGCAGCCGCGGGAACACGGAGGGGGCUAGCGUUGUUCGGAAUUACUGGGCGUAAAGCGUGCGCAGGCGGUUCGUUAAGACAGAUGUGAAAGCCCCGGGCUCAACCUGGGAAUGGCAAUGGAUACUGGCGAGCUAGAGUGUGUCAGAGGAUGGUGGAAUUCCCGGUGUAGCGGUGAAAUGCGUAGAGAUCGGGAGGAACAUCAGUGGCGAAGGCGGCCAUCUGGGACAACACUGACGCUGAGGCACGAAAGCGUGGGGAGCAAACAGGAUUAGAUACCCCCGUAGUCCCUGUCUCUUAUAC
Molecule: ribosomal RNA, 301 nt
Filed under: uncultured bacterium
Lineage: Bacteria
Description: partial 16S ribosomal RNA
Rfam family: Bacterial small subunit ribosomal RNA
Source: RNAcentral